GGCCCUGUGGUGAAAGUUUCAUGUUGAGUUGCAAGCUCAUUGAUGUGCAUUAAGAGUGUACCGGGGUCU
Molecule: transfer RNA, 69 nt
Filed under: Athene noctua
Lineage: Eukaryota; Metazoa; Chordata; Aves; Strigiformes; Strigidae
Description: tRNA-Cys
Source: RNAcentral